Sceloporus undulatus (fence lizard) is the source of this 729-nucleotide long non-coding RNA. RefSeq lists it as uncharacterized. NCBI's taxonomy places the organism in Eukaryota, Metazoa, Chordata, Lepidosauria, Squamata, Phrynosomatidae. The transcript has 4 exons. The record is from RefSeq and is a predicted model, not a curated record.
GAUACCAUUAAGUCUAAGGCUGCUGUCUGAAUUGAGAGGUCAGUUCAGAUUUACAGGCUUAUAUGGAAGCUUGCAGCCAUGAUGUUACAGCACUCUCCUACAUUGGAGGGCGCAAUAACUAAUGAAAAGAGCCAUUUCCAGCAUUGUCUGCUUUUCUGGCACUUUGGACUCUCAGCUGAUGUUCCAUAUCAGACCAUUCCUUUUGACACUUCAGGGCUUUGGCAAUGUUUGUAAAACUGUUACCGAUGGAAGUCCACCUUGCCAUUGUUCUGUACAGUGCAAGAGGGUGGAGAAAGGAGACACAUGGACAUCCUUGGCAAAGCUCGUGCCUGGUGUUUAACUAUAUUCUAACCAUUUUAAUUGGUGAUCCUAUCCAAUCUUGGGGAGAAGGCUGGGUAUAAAUAAUGAUCCUCUGCUUUCUGCUCCUCCUCCUGUUCUAAGGCCUUGUUUAACUAUUUGGCAUCUCACUGAAACUAGUAAGACGGAAUUUUCUUCUAAGUGGAAGAGACAAAAAGGUGGAAGGUACUGUGGACUGGUGGAUUUCUCGUCACAUUACUGCUCCUCACUUUCUUCAUCUGCUCAAGAAUCACUAUGGUAGCCAUGUUCUCAUCUGUUUUAAAGUAACAUUUUGAUGGAUUUUAAUUAUGUUGUUAUUUUAAUACUGCAUUCAUUCUGCGAUUAUUUAAAACUGUUUCAAUUUUUAAUCUGAAUUUUGUAUGUUUUAUUGUA